AAAACUACACUUUCAGGGAUCAUUUCUAUAGUUUGCCACUAGAGAAGUUUCUCUGUGUAGAGUACCAGGAAGCAUGAGGAGGAGAUGCAGUGCUCUUUCCUGAGCAUGAAGCUGGCUCGAGUGCUGCUCUUAGAUAGCUGUCUUUGCCGUUGAUGAUCAUUCUGCUCUGCCUCUGGUGGAGUUGGAGGGAGAGAAUACAGUCUAUGUGGC
Small nucleolar RNA from Nannospalax galili (Upper Galilee mountains blind mole rat), 210 nucleotides. Its record names the gene U3. It matches the Rfam family "Small nucleolar RNA U3". From Rfam's summary of the family: Small nucleolar RNAs (snoRNAs) are involved in the processing and modification of rRNA in the nucleolus. There are two main classes of snoRNAs: the box C/D class, and the box H/ACA class. The record is from Ensembl. Lineage: Eukaryota; Metazoa; Chordata; Mammalia; Rodentia; Spalacidae.